GGAGGUGGGUGAGAAAGCCGGGGUGGAGGGUGCAGCCUUAACAUUUGUGCUUUGUCAGGAGCCACCUUCAUCUGUCCAGAGACUUCUCGGCAAGGCUGCAGAGCUCACUACCAAGGCUGAGGCUGGCUAGGCAGCAGUGCAGGGGAGGAGGACACUGUGAAGUCCCAGCUGUCCACAUCAGGGCCUUUCAGUUUCUGCAUCACUCCUGGGUGUAUUUUAUCUUUGCCAGAACCACAGAAGGAGGAAGCGGCUGAGACAAAGGCUGACUGCAAAGCCAAUUUCUAUUCCUAGCCUGUGGGUGACCCUGGCAAGUGACCUUGAUCAGGCCAUUAACUCCCGCACAGUGUGAUUAUACUAGAUUCCAACCUAGGCCAAGCAACUCCUGUGAAAACUUAUGUUGGAAUUUUAAAGUGUUCCAUUUAGGGAGAAACCUUUGGAGUCUGGCUGUCUGCGGCUCUUCCAUGUCUAUGAUGUGCUGAGCACUGUCAUGCUCACUGCAGCAUUACGAGGUACUGUUGAAGAAACAGAACCAGAAAAGUUAAAUAACUUCCCUAAAGUUGUACAAUUAAUAAACUAGAGACCUCUGUUUGAAUUCUGGCCCCCUGAGUCCUGAAUCUGCUAUUAUCUACAAUGUUGGAGCAUACUUAACAACCAGAUAGUCAUUGCUGAGGCCAAGCUGGGAGGUUUGGGAGGUCCUGAAUCACAGAAGGAAAGAAGAUAGUUAGGUGCUAACUUAGUGAUACCAAAGUACUUUUGGAAAUCUGCA
This 766-nucleotide long non-coding RNA is filed under the name Fukomys damarensis (Damara mole-rat). RNAcentral describes it as "lncRNA (ENSFDAG00000028052.1)". The record is from RNAcentral. Lineage: Eukaryota; Metazoa; Chordata; Mammalia; Rodentia; Bathyergidae.